Molecule: ribosomal RNA, 463 nt
Filed under: uncultured bacterium
Lineage: Bacteria
Description: partial 16S ribosomal RNA
Rfam family: Bacterial small subunit ribosomal RNA
Source: RNAcentral
GACGAACGCUGGCGGCGUGCUUAACACAUGCAAGUCGAACGGAAAGGCCCCUUUGGGGGUACUCGAGUGGCGAACGGGUGAGUAACACGUGAGUAACCUGCCCUUGACUUCGGGAUAACUUCAGGAAACUGGGGCUAAUACCGGAUAGGAAUCCUUGCUGCAUGGUGGGGGUUGGAAAGCUUCGGCGGUUUUGGAUGGACUCGCGGCUUCAGCUUGUUGGUGGGGUAGUGGCUUACCAAGGCUUUGACGGGUAGCCGGCCUGAGAGGGCGACCGGCCACAUUGGGACUGAGAUACGGCCCAGACUCCUACGGGAGGCAGCAGUGGGGAAGAUUGCACAAUGGGCGGAAGCCUGAUGCAGCAACGCCGCGUGCGGGAUGACGGCCUUCGGGUUGUAAACCGCGUUCAGCAGGGGCGAAGCUUGUGGUGACGGUACCUGCAGAAGAAGCACCGGCUAACUACGUG